CCACACAGCCAGAUCACCCUGCAGCUCAAGAAUGAAGGAAAGCAGAGCUGAGCCUUGUCAGUACCUGGAUGGGAGACCACAUGGGAAAACUGGAUUGCUGUUGGAA
Molecule: ribosomal RNA, 106 nt
Filed under: Danio rerio (zebrafish)
Lineage: Eukaryota; Metazoa; Chordata; Actinopteri; Cypriniformes; Danionidae
Source: RNAcentral